This 157-nucleotide ribosomal RNA is filed under the name uncultured fungus. RNAcentral describes it as "5.8S ribosomal RNA". It matches the Rfam family "5.8S ribosomal RNA". Rfam says of the family: 5.8S ribosomal RNA (5.8S rRNA) is a component of the large subunit of the eukaryotic ribosome. It is transcribed by RNA polymerase I as part of the 45S precursor that also contains 18S and 28S rRNA. The record is from RNAcentral. Lineage: Eukaryota; Fungi.
AAACUUUCAACAACGGAUCUCUUGGUUCUCGCAACGAUGAAGAAUGCAGCGAAAUGCGAUACGUAAUGUGAAUUGCAGGUUUUCGUGAAUCAUCGAAUCUUUGAACGCAUAUUGCGCCCUCUGGUAUUCCGGAGGGCAUGCCUGUUUGAGCGUCAUU